RNAcentral lists this ribosomal RNA (883 nucleotides) under fungal endophyte. RNAcentral describes it as "eukaryotic LSU rRNA". The stretch from base 457 to 883 matches the Rfam family "Eukaryotic large subunit ribosomal RNA", at positions 1 to 425 of the family's 3401-position model. Lineage: Eukaryota; Fungi. The record is from RNAcentral.
ACCGAGUUUUCGAGCUUCGGCUCGACUCUCCCACCCUUUGUGAACGUACCUCUGUUGCUUUGGCGGCUCCGGCCGCCAAAGGACCUUCAAACUCCAGUCAGUAAACGCAGACGUCUGAUAAACAAGUUAAUAAACUAAAACUUUCAACAACGGAUCUCUUGGUUCUGGCAUCGAUGAAGAACGCAGCGAAAUGCGAUAAGUAAUGUGAAUUGCAGAAUUCAGUGAAUCAUCGAAUCUUUGAACGCACAUUGCGCCCCUUGGUAUUCCGGGGGGCAUGCCUGUUCGAGCGUCAUUACAACCCUCAAGCUCUGCUUGGAAUUGGGCACCGUCCUCACUGCGGACGCGCCUCAAAGACCUCGGCGGUGGCUGUUCAGCCCUCAAGCGUAGUAGAAUACACCUCGCUUUGGAGCGGUUGGCGUCGCCCGCCGGACGAACCUUCUGAACUUUUCUCAAGGUUGACCUCGGAUCAGGUAGGGAUACCCGCUGAACUUAAGCAUAUCAAUAAGCGGAGGAAAAGAAACCAACAGGGAUUGCCUUAGUAACGGCGAGUGAAGCGGCAACAGCUCAAAUUUGAAAGCUGGCCCUUUUAGGGUCCGCAUUGUAAUUUGUAGAGGAUGAUUCGGCGAGGGCUCCUGCCUAAGUCCCCUGGAACGGGGCGUCAUAGAGGGUGAGAAUCCCGUAUGCGGUAGGUUGCCUUAGCCAUGUGAAUCUCCUUCGACGAGUCGAGUUGUUUGGGAAUGCAGCUCUAAAUGGGAGGNAAAUUUCUUCUAAAGCUAAAUACCGGCCAGAGACCGAUAGCGCACAAGUAGAGUGAUCGAAAGAUGAAAAGCACUUUGGAAAGAGAGUUAAAAAGUACGUGAAAUUGUUGAAAGGGAAGCGCUUG